CUUAAUUGGGCGUUAAGUUGCAGGGUAUAGACCCGAAACCCGGUGAUCUAGCCAUGGGCAGGUUGAAGGUUGGGUAACACUAACUGGAGGACCGAACCGACUAAUGUUGAAAAAUUAGCGGAUGACCUGUGGCUGGGGGUGAAAGGCCAAUCAAACCGGGAGAUAGCUGGUUCUCCCCGAAAGCUAUUUAGGUAGCGCCUCGUGAAUUCAUCUCCGGGGGUAGAGCACUGUUUCGGCUAGGGGGCCAUCCCGGCUUACCAACCCGAUGCAAACUGCGAAUACCGGAGAAUGUUAUCACGGGAGACACACGGCGGGUGCUAACGUCCGUCGUGAAGAGGGAAACAACCCAGACCGCCAGCUAAGGUCCCAAAGUCAUGGUUAAGUGGGAAACGAUGUGGGAAGGCCCAGACAGCCAGGAUGUUGGCUUAGAAGCAGCCAUCAUUUAAAGAAAGCGUAAUAGCUCACUGGUCGAGUCGGCCUGCGCGGAAGAUGUAACGGGGCUAAACCAUGCACCGAAGCUGCGGCAGCGACGCUUAUGCGUUGUUGGGUAGGGGAGCGUUCUGUAAGCCUGCGAAGGUGGCCUGUGAGGGUUGCUGGAGGUAUCAGAAGUGCGAAUGCUGACAUAAGUAACGAUAAAGCGGGUGAAAAGCCCGCUCGCCGGAAGACCAAGGGUUCCUGUCCAACGUUAAUCGGGGCAGGGUGAGUCGACCCCUAAGGCGAGGCCGAAAGGCGUAGUCGAUGGGAAACGGGUUAAUAUUCCCGUACUUGGUGUUACUGCGAAGGGGGGACGGAGAAGGCUAUGUUGGCCGGGCGACGGUUGUCCCGGUUUAAGCGUGUAGGUGUGUGUUCCAGGUAAAUCCGGUUCACUUUAACACUGAGGCGUGACGACGAGGCACUACGGUGCUGAAGCAACAAAUGCCCUGCUUCCAGGAAAAGCCUCUAAGCAUCAGGUAACAUCAAAUCGUACCCCAAACCGACACAGGUGGUCAGGUAGAGAAUACCAAGGCGCUUGAGAGAACUCGGGUGAAGGAACUAGGCAAAAUGGUGCCGUAACUUCGGGAGAAGGCACGCUGACACGUAGGUGAAGUGAUUUACUCAUGGAGCUGAAGUCAGUCGAAGAUACCAGCUGGCUGCAACUGUUUAUUAAAAACACAGCACUGUGCAAACACGAAAGUGGACGUAUACGGUGUGACGCCUGCCCGGUGCCGGAAGGUUAAUUGAUGGGGUCAGCGCAAGCGAAGCUCCUGAUCGAAGCCCCGGUAAACGGCGGCCGUAACUAUAACGGUCCUAAGGUAGCGAAAUUCCUUGUCGGGUAAGUUCCGACCUGCACGAAUGGCGUAAUGAUGGCCAGGCUGUCUCCACCCGAGACUCAGUGAAAUUGAACUCGCUGUGAAGAUGCAGUGUACCCGCGGCAAGACGGAAAGACCCCGUGAACCUUUACUAUAGCUUGACACUGAACAUUGAGCCUUGAUGUGUAGGAUAGGUGGGAGGCUUUGAAGUGUGGACGCCAGUCUGCAUGGAGCCGACCUUGAAAUACCACCCUUUAAUGUUUGAUGUUCUAACGUGGACCCGUUACCCGGGUUGCGGACAGUGUCUGGUGGGUAGUUUGACUGGGGCGGUCUCCUCCUAAAGAGUAACGGAGGAGCACGAAGGUUGGCUAAUCCUGGUCGGACAUCAGGAGGUUAGUGCAAUGGCAUAAGCCAGCUUGACUGCGAGCGUGACGGCGCGAGCAGGUGCGAAAGCAGGUCAUAGUGAUCCGGUGGUUCUGAAUGGAAGGGCCAUCGCUCAACGGAUAAAAGGUACUCCGGGGAUAACAGGCUGAUACCGCCCAAGAGUUCAUAUCGACGGCGGUGUUUGGCACCUCGAUGUCGGCUCAUCACAUCCUGGGGCUGAAGUAGGUCCCAAGGGUAUGGCUGUUCGCCAUUUAAAGUGGUACGCGAGCUGGGUUUAGAACGUCGUGAGACAGUUCGGUCCCUAUCUGCCGUGGGCGCUGGAGAACUGAGGGGGGCUGCUCCUAGUACGAGAGGACCGGAGUGGACGCAUCACUGGUGUUCGGGUUGUCAUGCCAAUGGCACUGCCCGGUAGCUAAAUGCGGAAGAGAUAAGUGCUGAAAGCAUCUAAGCACGAAACUUGCCCCGAG
This 2140-nucleotide ribosomal RNA is filed under the name Salmonella enterica subsp. enterica serovar Enteritidis. RNAcentral's name for it is "partial 23S ribosomal RNA". It matches the Rfam family "Bacterial large subunit ribosomal RNA", at positions 683 to 2803 of the family's 2925-position model. Lineage: Bacteria; Pseudomonadati; Pseudomonadota; Gammaproteobacteria; Enterobacterales; Enterobacteriaceae. The record is from RNAcentral.